GGUGAAAAGCACCCCGGAAGGGGAGUGAAAUAGAACCUGAAACCGUGUGCUUACAAGUAGUCAGAGCCCGUUAAUGGGUGAUGGCGUGCCUUUUGUAGAAUGAACCGGCGAGUUACGAUUUGAUGCAAGGUUAAGCAGUAAAUGUGGAGCCGUAGCGAAAGCGAGUCUGAAUAGGGCGUUUAGUAUUUGGUCGUAGACCCGAAACCAGGUGAUCUACCCUUGGUCAGGUUGAAGUUCAGGUAACACUGAAUGGAGGACCGAACCGACUUACGUUGAAAAGUGAGCGGAUGAACUGAGGGUAGCGGAGAAAUUCCAAUCGAACCUGGAGAUAGCUGGUUCUCUCCGAAAUAGCUUUAGGGCUAGCCUCAAGUGAUGAUUAUUGGAGGUAGAGCACUGUUUGGACGAGGGGCCCCUCUCGGGUUACCGAAUUCAGACAAACUCCGAAUGCCAAUUAAUUUAACUUGGGAGUCAGAACAUGGGUGAUAAGGUCCGUGUUCGAAAGGGAAACAGCCCAGACCACCAGCUAAGGUCCCAAAAUAUAUGUUAAGUGGAAAAGGAUGUGGCGUUGCCCAGACAACUAGGAUGUUGGCUUAGAAGCAGCCAUCAUUUAAAGAGUGCGUAAUAGCUCACUAGUCGAGUGACACUGCGCCGAAAAUGUACCGGGGCUAAACAUAUUACCGAAGCUGUGGAUUGUCCUUUGGACAAUGGUAGGAGAGCGUUCUAAGGGCGUUGAAGCAUGAUCGUAAGGACAUGUGGAGCGCUUAGAAGUGAGAAUGCCGGUGUGAGUAGCGAAAGACGGGUGAGAAUCCCGUCCACCGAUUGACUAAGGUUUCCAGAGGAAGGCUCGUCCGCUCUGGGUUAGUCGGGUCCUAAGCUGAGGCCGACAGGCGUAGGCGAUGGAUAACAGGUUGAUAUUCCUGUACCACCUAUAAUCGUUUUAAUCGAUGGGGGGACGCAGUAGGAUAGGCGAAGCGUGCGAUUGGAUUGCACGUCUAAGCAGUAAG
RNAcentral lists this ribosomal RNA (1004 nucleotides) under Staphylococcus aureus. RNAcentral describes it as "partial 23S ribosomal RNA". It matches the Rfam family "Bacterial large subunit ribosomal RNA", at positions 513 to 1523 of the family's 2925-position model. The record is from RNAcentral. Lineage: Bacteria; Bacillati; Bacillota; Bacilli; Caryophanales; Staphylococcaceae.